GUUAAAAAGCUCGUAGUUGGAUUUCUGGCGGGGACCCAAGUACCCCUGGUGGGUGUGCUCGGGCCCGGCCAUCCUUCUGUAAACUUUCGCGCGUCCUUCACCGGUCGGCAAAGGGAUCAGAUAAUUUACCUUGAGUAAAUUAGAGUGUUUCAGGCAGGCUUAGCCGGAAUACAUUAGCAUGGAAUAAUGGAAUAGGACUGAGGUCUCGUUGUUGGUUACGCGGACUACAGUAAUGAUUAAUAGGGACAGUUGGGGGCAUUAGUAUUUAUUAGCUAGAGGUGGAAUUCUCUAAUUUGAUAAAGACUAACUUAUGCGAAAGCAUUUGCCAAGGAUGUUUUCAUUAAUCAAGAACGAAAGUUAGGGGAUCAAAGACGAUCAGAUACCGUCCUAGUCUUAACCAUAAACUAUGCCGACUCGGGAUUGGGGGCGUGUUAUUAUCCGCCUUCAGCACCGUAUGAGAAAUCAAAGUCUUUGGGUUCCUGGGGGGGAGUAUGGUCNCAAAGGUUUGAAAAC
This 513-nucleotide ribosomal RNA is filed under the name uncultured eukaryote. RNAcentral's name for it is "SSU rRNA". It matches the Rfam family "Eukaryotic small subunit ribosomal RNA", at positions 618 to 1143 of the family's 1831-position model. The record is from RNAcentral.